This 242-nucleotide ribosomal RNA is filed under the name uncultured bacterium. Its description in RNAcentral is "partial 16S ribosomal RNA". It matches the Rfam family "Bacterial small subunit ribosomal RNA", at positions 76 to 334 of the family's 1533-position model. The record is from RNAcentral.
GGGCUUGCUCCAAUUAGUUAGUGGCAGACGGGUGAGUAACACGUGGGAAUCUGCCCAUCAGUACGGAAUAACUUUUAGAAAUAAAAGCUAAUACCGUAUAUUCUCUACGGAGGAAGAUUUAUCGCUGAUGGAUGAGCCCCGCGUCAGAUUAGGUAGUUGGUGAGGUAAUGGCUCACCAAGCCUACGAUCUGUAGCUGGUCUGAGAGGAUGAUCAGCCACACUGGGACUGAGACACGGCCCAG